UAAAAAUUUAAAUUAAAAUAUUUAAGUAGUAUUAGUUAAGUUCUUGAAAUUUAAAAAAUUUGGCGGUAUUUUAGUCUAUUCAGAGGAACCUGUUUUUUAAUCGAUAAUCCACGAUGGAUCUCACUUAAAUUUGUUUUUAUAGUUUAUAUAUCGUUGUUUAUAGAAUAUUUUAUAAGAAUAAUAAUUUUCUUAAUUUUUAAUUAAAAAUUAUAUCAAAUCAAGAUGUAGCUUAUGUUUAAGUUUAUAAUGGGUUACAGUUAUUUUAUUAUUGGAUUUAGAUUUUAAAUAAUUUAUUGAAAUUGGAUUUGAUAGUAAAUUUAUAAAGAUAGAUAAAUUGAUUAUAGCUCUAAAAUAUGC
RNAcentral lists this ribosomal RNA (357 nucleotides) under Tomosvaryella sp. CNC Diptera 157872. Its description in RNAcentral is "partial 12S ribosomal RNA". The record is from RNAcentral. Lineage: Eukaryota; Metazoa; Arthropoda; Insecta; Diptera; Pipunculidae.